This 21-nucleotide non-coding RNA is filed under the name Caenorhabditis elegans. Lineage: Eukaryota; Metazoa; Nematoda; Chromadorea; Rhabditida; Rhabditidae. The record is from RNAcentral.
UGAUUGCGAAGAUCUUCUCGG